GAUGAACGCUGGCGGCGUGCCUAAUACAUGCAAGUCGAGCGAACAGAUGAGGAGCUUGCUCCUCUGACGUUAGCGGCGGACGGGUGAGUAACACGUGGAUAACCUACCUAUAAGACUGGGAUAACUUCGGGAAACCGGAGCUAAUACCGGAUAAUAUAUUGAACCGCAUGGUUCAAUAGUGAAACACGGUUUUGCUGUCACUUAUAGAUGGAUCCGCGCCGCAUUAGCUAGUUGGUAAGGUAACGGCUUACCAAGGCAACGAUGCGUAGCCGACCUGAGAGGGUGAUCGGCCACACUGGAACUGAGACACGGUCCAGACUCCUACGGGAGGCAGCAGUAGGGAAUCUUCCGCAAUGGGCGAAAGCCUGACGGGGCAACGCCGCGUGAGUGAUGAAGGUCUUCGGAUCGUAAAACUCUGUUAUUAGGGAAGAACAAAUGUGUAAGUAACUAUGCACGUCUUGACGGUACCUAAUCAGAAAGCCACGGCUAACUACGUG
This 497-nucleotide ribosomal RNA is filed under the name uncultured bacterium. Its description in RNAcentral is "partial 16S ribosomal RNA". It matches the Rfam family "Bacterial small subunit ribosomal RNA", at positions 28 to 507 of the family's 1533-position model. The record is from RNAcentral.